AACUCCAAACACUCAAAACUCAUUGUUGAAUGGAAUGAGAUAUUUUGAGUGUUUGGAAUUGA
RNAcentral lists this microRNA precursor (62 nucleotides) under Homo sapiens (human). Its description in RNAcentral is "Hsa-Mir-3145_pre stem-loop". Lineage: Eukaryota; Metazoa; Chordata; Mammalia; Primates; Hominidae. The record is from RNAcentral.